RNAcentral lists this ribosomal RNA (373 nucleotides) under Capillidium lobatum. RNAcentral describes it as "SSU rRNA". It matches the Rfam family "Bacterial small subunit ribosomal RNA", at positions 347 to 801 of the family's 1533-position model. Lineage: Eukaryota; Fungi; Entomophthoromycota; Entomophthoromycetes; Entomophthorales; Capillidiaceae. The record is from RNAcentral.
UGCUGCAGUGGGGAAUGUUGGGCAAUGGGCAAGACGCCUGAUCCAGCCAUAUAGUAAGAGUGAGAAAAGAAAUAAAACUCUAAAGAGAAGAAAAAUAGUGAUAGAAGUUUUCUAUUAAUCCUGACUAAUCUCGUGCCAGCAGUCGCGGUAAUACGAGAAGGAUAAGCGUAAUACAUUAUAUCUAGGUGUAAAGGGUCUGUAGGCGGCGGAAGCUAGAGUGUAAAAGAGGAAAGAGGAAUUAAAUAAGGAGGGAUGAAAUCCGUAGAUAUAAAUUAGGAACAUCAAAGGCGAAAGCAUCUUUCUCAUAAACACUGACGCUAAGAGACUAAAGUGUGGGUAGCGAAAAGGAUUAGAUACCUCAUUUAGUCCACCA